RNAcentral lists this ribosomal RNA (497 nucleotides) under uncultured bacterium. RNAcentral's name for it is "partial 16S ribosomal RNA". It matches the Rfam family "Bacterial small subunit ribosomal RNA", at positions 28 to 507 of the family's 1533-position model. The record is from RNAcentral.
GACGAACGCUGGCGGCGUGCCUAAUACAUGCAAGUUGAGCGCUGAAGGUUGGUACUUGUACCGACUGGAUGAGCAGCGAACGGGUGAGUAACGCGUGGGGAAUCUGCCUUUGAGCGGGGGACAACAUUUGGAAACGAAUGCUAAUACCGCAUAAAAACUUUAAACACAAGUUUUAAGUUUGAAAGAUGCAAUUGCAUCACUCAAAGAUGAUCCCGCGUUGUAUUAGCUAGUUGGUGAGGUAAAGGCCCACCAAGGCGAUGAUACAUAGCCGACCUGAGAGGGUGAUCGGCCACAUUGGGACUGAGACACGGCCCAAACUCCUACGGGAGGCAGCAGUAGGGAAUCUUCGGCAAUGGACGAAAGUCUGACCGAGCAACGCCGCGUGAGUGAAGAAGGUUUUCGGAUCGUAAAACUCUGUUGGUAGAGAAGAACGUUGGUGAGAGUGGAAAGCUCAUCAAGUGACGGUAACUACACAGAAAGGGACGGCUAACUACGUG